Molecule: long non-coding RNA, 391 nt
Organism: Mercenaria mercenaria
Lineage: Eukaryota; Metazoa; Mollusca; Bivalvia; Venerida; Veneridae
Exons: 3
Source: RefSeq, a predicted model, not a curated record
CAUGGGAUAUUUUGGCCGCCAUAUUGCCCCUUUGCCGGCUGCAGAGAUGAAGCGUAACUGGCUUUUAUUACCUCUAACCAGAUCAUAUUCCUGCUGUGACAUAUGGACAGGUGUAUUUAGGUCCGCAACCUGGUCAAUAUCCCAGUAAGCAGGUAAUGGUGUACAUGUAAUGAUCUUUACAGAUUUGUGUGGUAUGGUGACUGCUUGAGGUCAAAAUUUAAUCUGUCGGUGAAGUACUGAAGGAUCAAAGGAUGUUGAAGGAUAUAGGAUAGAAUUUUAUCUUCUAAUUAAAUAGUCAACUUAAAUCCCUUCAGUUUCAUAUGCAGUAACACAUAUUUCAGUUUGUUUUACUCCCUGGUACAACCAUUAAAUAAGCACUAGAUUUACAUAU